Molecule: non-coding RNA, 984 nt
Organism: Paramuricea clavata
Lineage: Eukaryota; Metazoa; Cnidaria; Anthozoa; Malacalcyonacea; Plexauridae
Source: the annotation of a GenBank genome assembly
CACGCAUUCAAUUUCACCCGGGAGAAACAUUUACAGAUUUUCAUAGUUUUAAUGUUUGAAACAAAGAUGUCACCUGCCUUUGUGUGUAAUGAACAAGACAAAGAAAACUCUAGGUUAUUUUGCAUUUGAGUGCAGUAUUUCACAGCAUGUGUGAGGUUCGCGUUGAGUUGAUCAUGCGGUAUUGGCAAUAUCAAGUGUGGAAUAUACUCCUGAACAAUUGAUGUGGUCAAAUUGACAAAUAGUUUGCAGUAAAACUUUCCACAUAAAAGUUUGAGGUUAAAUCGGGACGUAUAAAUUGUAAAUACUUAAGUCUAGAACUAAUGGAUAUUGUUUGUGGUAAUUGAUAAUGGCUGUGUAUAUUGAUGGUGCCAUCUAACUGGACGAACACCAGCAUUCAGAAUAGAGGAAUUUCGGGUCAACACGUUAUCAACGUCAACUCUUCACUUCAAUGUAUGACAACCUAAGAGAGUGCUAAAUGAUCCUAUCGAAAUAUUGGGUGGACCUUCUCUUAUUCAUCUACAAAACAUAAGAAUCACCAAUUUCUCAUUGUUUAAGACCCAAGCAAACGCAUAGUACUACAAAUUAUUUGUACUUUGUACUUUAUCGAAUGAAACCCCUUUGUAUUUAUGGUUGAAAUAUUUCAUCUAAUUAUUCAUUGGUGUCAUCUCAAGUUCAAUAUAUCUUUACGGAUAUUGGAACCUUUUUUAACGAGUCUUUGUAUAGCAUAAUGGUGAUUGGCUAGAACAUUGCAUGGUCAUUGUCACCAAACUUGCAUCGAUAUUGCGUUUUUCGCUCAAAUGAAAGACGUUUCAAUUGUAUUUUCCUCUUGCCAGUCCUGAAUUGCAAGGGUAUUCGGCCAAGAAAUGUGCCGAUGUAAUACUUUGAAGUCGCGUGAUAUUAACUAUGUUUCACUUUGUAUGUGUAAAUUUGUAUCAAUUAUAUGUGAAAGAAAAUAAUCAACGACAGUGUUCCUUGAUCUUUUUU